This 486-nucleotide ribosomal RNA is filed under the name uncultured bacterium. RNAcentral describes it as "partial 16S ribosomal RNA". It matches the Rfam family "Bacterial small subunit ribosomal RNA", at positions 46 to 523 of the family's 1533-position model. The record is from RNAcentral.
GCCUAACACAUGCAAGUCGAGCGGCAGCAUGCUUAGUAGCAAUACUAAGUGAUGGCGAGCGGCGGACGGGUGAGGAACACGUAGGAACCUGCCCAAGAGAGGGGGAUAACUAAGGGAAACUUUAGCUAAUACCGCAUAAUCUCUGAGGAGAAAAGUUGCCCGCAAGGGUAGCGCUUUUGGAGGGGCCUGCGUCCGAUUAGUUAGUUGGUCGGGUAAUGGCUCACCAAGACGAGGAUCGGUAACUGGUCUGAGAGGGCGACCAGUCACACUGGGACUGAGACACGGCCCAGACUCCUACGGGAGGCAGCAGUAGGGAAUCUUGGACAAUGGGGGAAACCCUGAUCCAGCGAUGCCGCGUGGGUGAAGAAGGCCUUCGGGUUGUAAAGCCCUUUAGGCUGGGAAGAAGAGUGCGGGGUGAAUAAUCCUGUACUUUGACGGUACCAGCAGAAUAAGCACCGGCAAACUCUGUGCCAGCCGCCGCCGUAA